RNAcentral lists this ribosomal RNA (540 nucleotides) under Drosophila funebris. RNAcentral describes it as "eukaryotic LSU rRNA". It matches the Rfam family "Eukaryotic large subunit ribosomal RNA", at positions 214 to 642 of the family's 3401-position model. The record is from RNAcentral. Lineage: Eukaryota; Metazoa; Arthropoda; Insecta; Diptera; Drosophilidae.
GCCAGGCCCGUAUAACGUUAAUGAUUACUAGAUGGUGUUUCCAAAGAGUCGUGUUGCUUGAUAGUGCAGCACUAAGUGGGUGGUAAACUCCAUCUAAAACUAAAUAUAACCAUGAGACCGAUAGUAAACAAGUACCGUGAGGGAAAGUUGAAAAGAACUCUGAAUAGAGAGUUAAAUAGUACGUGAAACUGCUUAGAGGUUAAGCCCGAUGAACCUGAAUAUCCGUUAUGGAAAAUUCAUCAUUAGAAUUGUAAUAUAUAAUCUAUAUUAUAAUAAUAGUGUGCAUUUUUUCCAUAUAAGGACAUUGUAAUCUAUUAGUAUCAAUAAAUUUAUCAAAAAAUUGUAGAUAAUUGCUUAUUUGAAUUAGAAUGCUUGCAUUUUAACAUAAAAUAAAUGUCAUAAAUUUGAUAAAGUGCUGAUAGAUUUAUAUGAGUACAGUGCGUUAAUUUCUCGGAAUUAUAUAAUGGCAUAAUUAUCAUUGAUUUUUGUGUUUAUUAUAAGCAUUUGUAUGAUUAACAAUGCGAAAGAUUCAGGAUACCU